GCACUACUGGUGGAGUGGCUCCAUGCAAGACCCCUAUUCUUGUAUCCGGGUUCGAACCCGGGAAAGGCG
RNAcentral lists this transfer RNA (69 nucleotides) under Alosa alosa (allis shad). RNAcentral describes it as "tRNA-Arg". The record is from RNAcentral. Lineage: Eukaryota; Metazoa; Chordata; Actinopteri; Clupeiformes; Clupeidae.